RNAcentral lists this ribosomal RNA (253 nucleotides) under uncultured bacterium. RNAcentral describes it as "partial 16S ribosomal RNA". It matches the Rfam family "Bacterial small subunit ribosomal RNA", at positions 524 to 776 of the family's 1533-position model. The record is from RNAcentral.
UACGUACCGUCCAAACGUUAUUCGGAAUUACUGGGCUUAAAGGGUUUGUAGGCGGCGCUGUUAGUCGGGUGUGAAAUCCCUCGGCUCAACCGAGGAAUUGCGCCCGAUACUGCAGUGCUUGAGGGAGACAGAGGUAAGCGGAACUGAUGGUGGAGCGGUGAAAUGCGUAGAUAUCAUUUGGAACGCCAACGGUGAAAACAGGUAGCUGGGAGUGUGCUGACGCUGAGACACGAAAGCCAGGGGAGCAAACGGG